UACGUAGGGUGCUAGCGUUGCUCGGAAUCACUGGGCGUAAAGCGCACGUAGGCGGACUCUUAAGUCGGUGGUGAAAUCCUGGAGCUCAACUCCAGAACUGCCUUCGAUACUGGGAGUCUCGAGUUCGGGAGAGGUGAGUGGAACUGCGAGUGUAGAGGUGAAAUUCGUAGAUAUUCGCAAGAGCACCAGUGGCGAAGGCGGCUCACUGGCCCGAUACUGACGCUGAGGUGCGAAAGCGUGGGGAGCAAACAGG
RNAcentral lists this ribosomal RNA (253 nucleotides) under uncultured bacterium. RNAcentral describes it as "partial 16S ribosomal RNA". It matches the Rfam family "Bacterial small subunit ribosomal RNA", at positions 524 to 776 of the family's 1533-position model. The record is from RNAcentral.